AUUAGGAAUUUUGCGCAAUGGGCGAAAGCCUGACGCAGCGACGCCGCGUGACUGAUGACGUCUUUCGGGAUGUAAAGGUCUUUUGCAGGGGAAGAAGGAUGUGACGGUACCCUGCGAAUAAGCCCCGGCUAACUACGUGCCAGCAGCCGCGGUAAUACGUAGGGGGCGAGCGUUGUCCGAAUUUACUGGGCGUAAAGCGCGCGUAGGCGGGCUGAUAAGUUGUGGGUGAAAUGCCGAGGCUCAACCUCGGCGCUGCCUGCAAGACUGUCGGUCUUGAGGUAUGGAGGGGAAAGUGGAAUUCCUGGUGUAGCGGUGAAAUGCGUAGAUAUCAGGAGGAACACCGAUGGCGAAGGCAGCUUUCUGGCCAUAUCCUGACGCUGAUGUGCGAAAGCCAGGGUAGCGAACGGGAUUAGAAACCCGAGUAGUCC
RNAcentral lists this ribosomal RNA (428 nucleotides) under uncultured bacterium. RNAcentral's name for it is "bacterial SSU rRNA". It matches the Rfam family "Bacterial small subunit ribosomal RNA", at positions 354 to 796 of the family's 1533-position model. The record is from RNAcentral.